UCCACGUAAAGUACGUGGGUCGAAGAUUGACUUAGCGUACUUUGUAGGAUGGCUGCGAGGAAAACAAGGAAACCGAGGAAGUAGCCGUUGUUCAAAAGUUCUUCAAUGGUGACGAAACCCUGGGGAGAUGAUGUACGAGGAGGAUUGACGACUUUUAAUUUUGCGCCGUAGCAACGUAGCUGACUAUUCUUGAGAUCGCCAUCGGGCCGGCAAGUGUCGUAGCGUCGCCAAAUAACUUUAGAAUUCCUCCGAUCAAAAAACCGAGCCAGACUUUUCGCCAGUAGCAACGCCAUAGGGAAAGUUGACGUCCGUUUUCGGUUCGCCGCUGCGACGACAAGAGUUAAGAAAUCCGGUGUUCAGAGAGAUUCCACGAAACACUCGGCCUUUGACGGAGGUCCUGCGGUCAUCCAGAGGGACGAACCGUCCUGCGUUUUCCAACUCCAUAUCAAAUGACGCCUCGGAGAUGUCCCGAGAAAUCGAGACAGGAAACCCGCUACGCAAACGCUCUCCAUUGUCCCCCAGGAUGAGUGGAGAGCCGGUUUUAAUGGAGAUAAUCCUUCGGACUCUUUGAUGAAAGACUUCCUGGGAAUCAGCUGCGUCUCGUACUUCUCUAGCUGAUGAUUCUUCGACAUCACUGGCAUCGGCUGUUACACGUCCGCAUGCGAUUUCUUCCCGGAAUCUUUUGCAUAGUUAGGACCCUUAGGACAUUUGAGGUCUCACGGAGUCGGUAUCCGCAUGGACUCGCCGAAUGGAACCGGUACCAAAAUCUCGUCGCAUCACAUGGACAAGCAUCUCUUUACCUUCGAUAGCAAGUGCGCGUCUACGUCUGAUGAUUUUUAAUUUGGAAUUUUAUUAUAAUUCAUGUGAGGCGAAUUAACAAUAACAUAUGAAUAAGUCAUUAUGUCUUCAUGUCCAGUAUUUCUUGGUGUAAUUGCAAAAAUAUUGUAACAUGGUGAUGAAAAAACAUCUUGUGAUUUACAUAUUAGUUUUGAUUAUGGCAAUGAAUAUUUUAAUGAAUAAAUUGUUAAUAUUGUAUUCAAAAGUA
This is a long non-coding RNA of Athalia rosae (coleseed sawfly), 1045 nucleotides long. RefSeq lists it as uncharacterized. The transcript has 5 exons. The record is from RefSeq and is a predicted model, not a curated record. NCBI's taxonomy places the organism in Eukaryota, Metazoa, Arthropoda, Insecta, Hymenoptera, Athaliidae.